UCUCUGCUGGGGUUGGAGUAGCUUCCUGGUCCUACUCUAAAUCUGACAGGAGGGUUCCAGCAGGGGUCUGAGGGCCAUCUUAUGCUGCCUGUCUGCUCAUCCUUUCCCCUGGGUCUGAGGUCUCUUUCUUCAUCCUCUGAUUUCCUCUGGUUUCAAGACCUCCAGAACGCUGGACUUGAUCCCACAAAGCAAAGGGCUAUGGAUGCACCAAAAACAGGUUGACCUGUGCAUCCAAGAGUGACCACCACCUUGCCUACCUUUUACUCCAUGGUGGUAUUCAGGAAACGUUCAUUGCAUCUCAGCCCCAUUGAAUUAGUGGGGCUCAAGUAUUUAAACAUGCCCUUCCAUUUCACUGAUACCAGUGGGACAUAGGUUACUGCUAACAUUCUCUGGAUUUGGCCCUGUGGCCGGAAUAAUUCAUUGUUCUCCCUUUGGUGGGCAGAAAAGACUUCAGUCGUGAGGACAGCAGCAAGAUUGCCAUAAUCCCCAGAAAUAUGUCCUGAAAAAUUGCUCCACCUUUGUGCACAGACCAAGAUCAGGAACAACAUGCCCUGUGCAUAGACAAAUAUGGAACUGUAAUGACAUUCCAUGUCUUCUGUAGCAGAUCUCGAAACGUCUUAUCAUGAGUGCUCUUCACUACCAUGACCAACUGGACCCCCUUUUUCAUCUUUUUAAUACAUUGUCUACCCAUCCUUCUCACUGGGCUCUCUUAUUAGAAAUCUGAUUUACAUAUAUGAUCUGUGAGAUAUAAAACAAAUAAGCUGUGCUAAUUUAACACACCUAGUUCACCUAUGUGUAAGUUGCAUAUUGUAUGGCUCUGUGACUUCUUGCUUUGGUGGUGCCUCUAUGUUGAGUAACAUCUAGUGACCUUUCAAGAUCUCCCACGGAUCAAUAUAUGUUACCAGGUGCUAAUACCAACUUAUUGAAAAACACAGCUGAGACCCAGUGGCAUGUUUUACCUGCUCAGCAACACGUAUGGGUGUCUGUAUGAAUAUUAGUAUAGACUUGUACAUAUACCAAAGCAUGGUUUAGGUGCAGUGAAGGGCUAAUAGACUGUUAGCAUGUAUUCAGCAAUAUGGUCUUUCUAUAGACAAUAUUUGCAGUCAUAGAGAACUCUGUUCAGAUAUGUUCAAGAGGUUAAACGUUAUCUGAUACAUCUCUUCUCCCUUGCUCAGUACAAAACUUGAUGUGUGUGUGUGCUUGCAUGUAUCUUGAUCUUAAUUGGUUUCAUUAACUU
Long non-coding RNA from Rhineura floridana, 1237 nucleotides. RefSeq lists it as uncharacterized. The transcript is spliced from 3 exons. NCBI's taxonomy places the organism in Eukaryota, Metazoa, Chordata, Lepidosauria, Squamata, Rhineuridae. The record is from RefSeq and is a predicted model, not a curated record.